UACAGAGGGUGCAAGCGUUAAUCGGAAUUACUGGGCGUAAAGCGCAUGUAGGUGGGAUAAUAAGUUUGAUGUGAAAGCCCUGGGCUUAACCCGGGAAUGGCGUUGAAGACUGUUAUUCUAGAGUUUGACAGAGGGUCGUGGAAUUUCCGGUGUAGCGGUGAAAUGCGUAGAGAUCGGAAAGAACACCAGUGGCGAAGGCGGCGACCUGGGUCGAGACUGACACUGAGGUGCGAAAGCGUGGGGAGCAAACAGG
RNAcentral lists this ribosomal RNA (253 nucleotides) under uncultured bacterium. RNAcentral's name for it is "partial 16S ribosomal RNA". It matches the Rfam family "Bacterial small subunit ribosomal RNA", at positions 524 to 776 of the family's 1533-position model. The record is from RNAcentral.